Molecule: non-coding RNA, 77 nt
Organism: Potamilus streckersoni
Lineage: Eukaryota; Metazoa; Mollusca; Bivalvia; Unionida; Unionidae
Source: the annotation of a GenBank genome assembly
GACUGCUCCAGUGUCCUAGUGGUUAGAGUGUCUGCCUCAGAUGCAGGAGGUCGUGGGUUUGAACCCUGGCUAGGUCA